RNAcentral lists this ribosomal RNA (253 nucleotides) under uncultured bacterium. RNAcentral describes it as "partial 16S ribosomal RNA". It matches the Rfam family "Bacterial small subunit ribosomal RNA", at positions 524 to 776 of the family's 1533-position model. The record is from RNAcentral.
UACAGAGGGUGCGAGCGUUAAUCGGAAUUACUGGGCGUAAAGCGUGCGUAGACGGUUAUGUAAGUCGGGUGUGAAAGCCCCGGGCUCAACCUGGGAAUUGCAUUCGAGACUGCAUAGCUAGGGUGCGGAAGAGGGAAGCGGAAUUUCCGGUGUAGCGGUGAAAUGCGUAGAUAUCGGAAGGAACAUCAGUGGCGAAAGCGGCUUCCUGGUCCAGCACCGACGUUCAGGCACGAAAGCGUGGGGAGCAAACAGG